This 838-nucleotide unclassified non-coding RNA is filed under the name Hevea brasiliensis (rubber tree). The record is from RNAcentral. Lineage: Eukaryota; Viridiplantae; Streptophyta; Magnoliopsida; Malpighiales; Euphorbiaceae.
GCUUGAGAGGGAAGAAGAGAAGUAGAGGGAGAGAGAAAGCUUGAUACAGAGAUGGGCUACUGGAAGUCCAAGGUUCUCCCCAAGAUCAAGAAGGUCUUCGAGAAGAACGGCGUGAAGAAGGCCGCCGCCGCCGAGGCUACCAAGUCUUUUGAUGACUCCAAGGAGGAGAUAAAUAAGGAGUUUGAGGAGAAAAAAAUCGAGCUCGGGCCGAAGGUGUUGGAGAUCUAUGAAGCUUCUUCGAUUGAGAUCAAGACUUUGGUGAAGGACCGCACCGAUGCAGGGGUGAAGAAGCACUCGGUGGCGGUCACAAAAAUCCUCGAAGAACUAGUGAAGAUUGAAUUCCCUGGAUCCAAGCCAGUCAGCGAGGCUUCUUCCAAAUUUGGCCCUGAGCUCCUCCCAGGACCGGUCCUCUUCAUCUUCGAGAAGAUCUCGACCUUCGUACCGGUAGAAGAGUUGGCAGCUCCGGCAGCUGAAGAGCCUGCUGUGGAGGCUGCUACCAGAGAGAUAGUUGUCGAGGGAGAGAAGACAGAAGAAGUUGUGGACAAAGUGACGGAGGAGGUGAGCCCACCACCUCCAACUCCAGUCGAGGAACCGGUUGCAGCAGCAACAGCUACGGAGGUGGUAGCCGAGCCGGUUAAGCCUGCUGAGGCUGUGAAGGAGGAGCCACCUAAGCCUUGAUGGUCAUGAAUUCACCUUCCAUCAUCUUGUACAAUUACAAACCAGUGUCCACAUAUUUGUUAUUCUUUCACCUUACAUCCCUUUCUUUCUGUUUUGUAUGUAUGCUAGCUUGCUAUUUUGUUGUUCUUGUGAAGUAAGGAGAAGGAUUGUAUUUACUAUU